Molecule: non-coding RNA, 82 nt
Organism: Merluccius polli (Benguela hake)
Lineage: Eukaryota; Metazoa; Chordata; Actinopteri; Gadiformes; Merlucciidae
Source: the annotation of a GenBank genome assembly
GGGGAAAGGGUAGUCUAGUGGUUGUCAUGUUUGACUUGCAGGUAAAAGGUUCUGGGUUCAAUCCCCGAUGCCUAACCCCCUA